UCUCCGUUGGUGAACCAGCGGAGGGAUCAUUACCGAGUUUACAACUCCCAAACCCCAUGUGAACAUACCUGUUUCGUUCCCUCGGCGGUGUCCGGCAACGGCCCGCCAGAGGACCCCUAAACUCUGUUUCUAUAUGUAACUUCUGAGUAAAACCAUAAAUAAAUCAAAACUUUCAACAACGGAUCUCUUGGUUCUGGCAUCGAUGAAGAACGCAGC
This 216-nucleotide unclassified non-coding RNA is filed under the name uncultured fungus. RNAcentral's name for it is "sequence contains ITS1, 5.8S rRNA gene". The stretch from base 168 to 216 matches the Rfam family "5.8S ribosomal RNA", at positions 1 to 49 of the family's 154-position model. The record is from RNAcentral. Lineage: Eukaryota; Fungi.